UACGGGGGGUGCAAGCGUUGUUCGGAAUCAUUGGGCGUAAAGGGCGUGUAGGCGGCUUGGUAAGUCAGAUGUGAAAGCCCUGGGCUUAACCCAGGAAGUGCAUUUGAAACUGCCAGGCUUGAGUAGGGAAGAGGAAGGUGGAAUUCCUGGUGUAGAGGUGAAAUUCGUAGAUAUCAGGAGGAACACCGGUGGCGAAGGCGACCUUCUGGUCCUAUACUGACGCUGAGACGCGAAAGCGUGGGUAGCAAACAGG
This 253-nucleotide ribosomal RNA is filed under the name uncultured Syntrophus sp. RNAcentral describes it as "partial 16S ribosomal RNA". It matches the Rfam family "Bacterial small subunit ribosomal RNA", at positions 524 to 776 of the family's 1533-position model. The record is from RNAcentral. Lineage: Bacteria; Pseudomonadati; Thermodesulfobacteriota; Syntrophia; Syntrophales; Syntrophaceae.